RNAcentral lists this long non-coding RNA (1321 nucleotides) under Trifolium pratense (red clover). RNAcentral's name for it is "long non-coding RNA (TPRA_LNC003652)". The record is from RNAcentral. Lineage: Eukaryota; Viridiplantae; Streptophyta; Magnoliopsida; Fabales; Fabaceae.
UCCAAUUGAUUUCUCAGUAUCCAUUCCAAUACUCCCUCUUCUCUCUCACGCCUACUCCCUCACACUCUAACCAUUCUCUUCAAUUCAAGCUUUGAACUAAGGAAAGGAAGCAUGGAUUCUUACAUGCAAUCAUGGUAGCAACUUCUCUAGCCAUAAGUAAACAAGGUAACAGACUUACCUUUUCCUUUUCUUUAACAUAAUCCUUGUAAUUUCCCAUUUUAAUUAUUCAACCAAAAUCUGAUGAGUACUCCCUUCCUUUUGAAUUGAGAGCUUGUAUGUGAGUUAUAGUAGCCAAGGAGUCAUGGGUUCAUGUUUGAAGCUUGAAGUUUUGAGUGGUGACUUUUGAAAGAGAUUGUGUUGAAUUUCGUUUUUGGAUAUACUUUCAGAAAAACAGUAAGUACUCCUUCCCUGUAACUCCAAUCGAGUUAAUUCUUUAAGUUCUGUAAAGCUAACGAAUUUACCCUCGUUGGCAUAUCAAAUUUUAUCGGAUUCGGAGUUACAAUGCAUUAUGUAGGUGAUGCUAAAGUUGAAGAUACGAAACAGGAUUUCUGCAGAAAAUGUGUUUGGACAGUGCUGCACUUAAAGGUUAACUGCGCCCUCUCUAUAACUCGGUUUGACAUUCCAUUUGCUUCUAUGGAUAGCUAACUCGAUUACGGUUGGUAUGGUUCCGGUUUUGUGAAUUUUCAAUAAGGGAUGAGGUCUGUAUGAAUUUUUGAAGUUGAUACUCCGAUGCAGAAUUCUGCAGAAAGGUAUGGGUACGGGUUUGAAGCAUUUCGAUUGAAAUUAUGCAUAUCGGCGAGCUCUGGAAAUGACAAUGGUAUUGUUCAAGCGUAUUUGCAGGUGGGUUCCCUUAGAGCCUUAAACUCUAGUUAGUUUUAACUCUAUUAGUUUCCCCAAAUUAUGAAUCUUGCAUGAUAACAUAAGCAUUAGGGUGAAUUGUGUAUGAGAGGAGCUUAAUCCCAAAGCUUCUCUUCGUUUUAAUUAUGUGAAAUAUGUUGUAAUGUUCAUGGCUAAUAAGUAAAGGGAUUGUGAUAAUGAUUUUCUGCAAAACGGAUGGAAAUUGUAAAAACAGAGUAAUGAACUGAUAGCCUCGCUAAGCGAAAUGGUACUUGCUAGGCGAGAAUAUCAGCUCAGUACUAUGUAGAAUUUAAAAUUAUGAACAAACUCACGUUUUUGAAUCCCCUACCUUUUUAGUACAUUUUCUGUGAAUAAUACAAGUAUAAUAAUUAAUUAAAAUGUUAAGUACACGUUAAGUUAAGAUAAUCAGGAUAUCAGGACAAGUUAGCUACUCCAGGGAGGGAAAUUCAUGGGUAGGAUANNN